AACGCACGAGACCUGCGGACCUGCGGAAGGAUCAUUAGUGAACGCCCUCACGGGCUUAUAACUAUUCCAAACCUCUGUGAGCCGUGCCCUUCGGGGCUAUUUUACAAACAUGGUGUAAUGAACGUCAUAUAUCAUAACAAAACAAAACUUUCAACAACGGAUCUCU
Molecule: unclassified non-coding RNA, 166 nt
Filed under: soil metagenome
Description: partial contains 5.8S ribosomal RNA, internal transcribed spacer 2, and large subunit ribosomal RNA
Source: RNAcentral